CAUUACGCGAUGAAAUAAAUCGUCAUACAUCGACGGAAUCCUCCGUGAGAUGGAUCUCGUAUCCAUUAUGAAACAAUCAUUCAUUAAUACUCCCGACGCGUGCUUCGUCUCUUAUUAGACUGUGUUAGACGCGGGUUAAACUAGCGACUUUUAUAGCUCCGAAAUUUAGAUUAAAGGAGCUCACAAAGCGCUAGUACUAGUCCGAUUGACAAUAUCAUGUCACAACAUGUGUUUGGGAAGCGACACAUUCCUACUACGGACAUCGCCUACCUCAUAAAUGAUGACAUCCAAGCGGUCAACCCGAAAACAAACAAAAUCGACAGUUAUUACAGCUGAAAAAGAACACUGAUUGUAUAGAGAUUGAAAACUUGCCUUAUACUACAAAACAAAUGAUGUUAGCCGGGACUCGUGCAUAACACAAGCGUUCUGGUUGAACGAGAAAAACAAACACUUCAUAUGAUGACAUUCCCCGGAACAAGACGGUAACGAAGGUGCGUCAUGUGAAUCAUGUCGGACGUUACAUACAACGCUUUUUAUAAGGUCCUAUGCAGACAAAGAAUUGCACAGCAAAAAUUGAAAACUUGUUUUUAUCAUAAGAAAUACAAUCAAAUAACAUCACUAGUAAAAAGGUAAAAUACAUGUAGUGUGUAAGAUUUAUAUUUUGCAUGGUUUACACAACCAGCUUCAAUUCCAAACCAGUCUUAAACAAUUUAAUACUGAUAGCACACGAUGAUUCUAAAUUAGAAUAAUUUUCAUGUAAAAUUAGUUUUUCAGAACGUGUUUUAAUUAGUAAAUCAAUAAUAAUUCAAUUCUUCUUCUUAUACAGCACUAAUUCUAAAUAGAAGAGUUUGUGCCGGCAUAUUGUAUAUAUUAAACAUAUCCUAAAGAUUCGCAUUUGAAUAACAUCACGUUAUCAAUUAUAAUCAACGAUUUCUUUAUCAAUUUUAAGUAGGAUCCUCACGCAAAAUAUAAAAAUAAUCAUUUUAUUUUCACAAAAAACUUUACGCAAGUAUAUCAUAAUAAU
Molecule: long non-coding RNA, 1024 nt
Organism: Dreissena polymorpha
Lineage: Eukaryota; Metazoa; Mollusca; Bivalvia; Myida; Dreissenidae
Exons: 3
Source: RefSeq, a predicted model, not a curated record